RNAcentral lists this transfer RNA (91 nucleotides) under Cellulomonas cellasea. RNAcentral's name for it is "tRNA-Gln". The record is from RNAcentral. Lineage: Bacteria; Bacillati; Actinomycetota; Actinomycetes; Micrococcales; Cellulomonadaceae.
GGGAGCUGGCGGGCGUUCCUGCCCGUCGGGCCCCUGACGCUCGAGAACUACGCCGGGGUCUUCGAGCGGGUGCCGUUCGCGCGGUUCCUGC